Molecule: ribosomal RNA, 494 nt
Filed under: uncultured bacterium
Lineage: Bacteria
Description: bacterial SSU rRNA
Rfam family: Bacterial small subunit ribosomal RNA
Source: RNAcentral
GAUCCUGGCUCAGGACGAACGCUGGCGGCGUGCUUAACACAUGCAAGUCGAACGAUGAAGUUAUGACGGAGGCUUCGGCCGACAGAAUAACGGAAUAGUGGCGGACGGGUGAGUAACGCGUGAGUAACCUGCCUUUCAGAGAGGAAUAACAUUUGGAAACGAAUGGUAAUACCACAUAACAUUACGUUCUCGCAUGGGGAUGUAAUCAAAGAUUUUAUCGCUGAGAGAUGGCCUCGCGUCUGAUUAGCUAGUUGGUGAGGUAACGGCCCACCAAGGCGACGAUCAGUAGCCGGACUGAGAGGUUGAACGGCCACAUUGGGACUGAGAUACGGCCCAGACUCCUACGGGAGGCAGCAGUGGGGAAUAUUGGGCAAUGGGCGCAAGCCUGACCCAGCAACGCCGCGUGAAGGAAGAAGGCUUUCGGGUUGUAAACUUCUUUUGUCGGGGACGAGUAGAAGACGGUACCUGACGAAUAAGCCACGGCUAACUACGUG